AUUGAACGCUGGCGGCAUGCUUUACACAUGCAAGUCGAACGGUAACAGGCCUUCGGGUGCUGACGAGUGGCGAACGGGUGAGUAAUGCAUCGGAACGUGCCCAGAGGUGGGGGAUAACACAGCGAAAGCUGUGCUAAUACCGCAUGUGAUCUGAGGAUGAAAGCGGGGGACCAGGCAGCAAUGUUUGGCCUCGCGCCUUUGGAGCGGCCGAUGUCAGAUUAGGUAGUUGGUGGGGUAAAGGCCUACCAAGCCGACGAUCUGUAGCUGGUCUGAGAGGACGACCAGCCACACUGGGACUGAGACACGGCCCAGACUCCUACGGGAGGCAGCAGUGGGGAAUUUUGGACAAUGGGCGAAAGCCUGAUCCAGCAAUGCCGCGUGCGGGAAGAAGGCCUUCGGGUUGUAAACCGCUUUUGUACGGAACGAAAAGGCUCUGGCUAAUACCUGGGGCUGAUGACGGUACCGUAAGAAUAAGCACCGGCUAACUACGUG
RNAcentral lists this ribosomal RNA (492 nucleotides) under uncultured bacterium. RNAcentral describes it as "partial 16S ribosomal RNA". It matches the Rfam family "Bacterial small subunit ribosomal RNA", at positions 30 to 507 of the family's 1533-position model. The record is from RNAcentral.